Molecule: ribosomal RNA, 481 nt
Filed under: uncultured bacterium
Lineage: Bacteria
Description: SSU rRNA
Rfam family: Bacterial small subunit ribosomal RNA
Source: RNAcentral
AGGACGAACGCUGGCGGCGUGCCUAACACAUGCAAGUCGAACGCGCUCCAUUCGGUAGCAAUACUGAUGAAGAGCGAGUGGCGAACGGGUGAGUAGCACGUGAGCAACCUGCCCCGAAGACUGGGACAACACCGGGAAACCGGUGCUAAUACCGGAUAUCCCUAUCGGAUCGCAUGAUCUGAUAAGGAAAUGUUUUUCGCUUCGGGAGGGGCUCGCGGCCUAUCAGCUAGUUGGUGGGGUAAUGGCCUACCAAGGCAUCGACGGGUAGCUGGUCUGAGAGGACGAUCAGCCACACUGGGACUGAGACACGGCCCAGACUCCUACGGGAGGCAGCAGUGGGGAAUCUUGCGCAAUGGGCGAAAGCCUGACGCAGCAACGCCGCGUGGAGGACGAAGGCUUUCUGAGUUGUAAACUCCUUUCAGCAGGGACGAUUGUGACGGUACCUGCAGAGAAGCACCGGCAACUACGUGCCAGCAGCCGA